UAGUCCACGCCGUAAACGAUGCUUACUCGCUGUUGGCGAUAUUACUGUCAGCGGCCAAGCGAAAGCGUUAAGUAAGCCACCUGGGGAGUACGCCCGCAAGGGUGAAACUCAAAGGAAUUGACGGGGGCCCGCACAAGCGGAGGAGCAUGUGGUUUAAUUCGAUGAUACGCGAGGAACCUUACCUAGGCUCUAAUGUUAGCGCAAUCUGGUGAAAGCCGGAGUUCCUUCGGGACGCGAAACAAGGUGCUGCAUGGUUGUCGUCAGCUCGUGCCGUGAGGUGUUGGGUUAAGUCCCGCAACGAGCGCAACCCCUAUUGCUAGUUGCCAGCAUUAAGUUGGGGACUCUAGCAAGACUGCCGGCGUAAGCCGCGAGGAAGGUGGAGACGACGUCAAAUCAUCAUGGCCUUUAUGCCUAGGGCGACACACGUGCUACAAUGGUGCAUACAGAGGGUAGCGAAGCCGCGAGGUGGAGCCAAUCUCAGAAAGUGCAUCCCAGUUCGGAUUG
This 504-nucleotide ribosomal RNA is filed under the name uncultured bacterium. Its description in RNAcentral is "bacterial SSU rRNA". It matches the Rfam family "Bacterial small subunit ribosomal RNA", at positions 791 to 1300 of the family's 1533-position model. The record is from RNAcentral.